Long non-coding RNA from Prinia subflava (tawny-flanked prinia), 841 nucleotides. RefSeq lists it as uncharacterized. The record is from RefSeq and is a predicted model, not a curated record. Lineage: Eukaryota; Metazoa; Chordata; Aves; Passeriformes; Cisticolidae. The transcript is spliced from 3 exons.
CCUGCUCGCAUUUGCUGCUGGGAAACUUGUCUUUGUUGUUCUCCUUUUUCCAUUUCAUCCUCCUGUUCUGGAACCAGAUUUUGACCUGCCUCUCUGUCAAUCCCAGGGCGUGCGAGACCUCGAUCCUCCGUUUGCGGGUCAGAAACGCGCUCUCCAGGCGCUUGUGCUGCAAUAAAACCUCAAAAGAAUUCGGAGGGGGAAUCGCAGGAAUUGUCGUGGAAAAAGGAGCCGCGUGUGGGAGCCGAGGAACGCGAGGAAAAACCGAGGGGUCGCAAAACAUCGAGGAAAACGCGGCUGGAAAUGAAAAUAAAGAGGAUUUUCGGCAAAUCCGUGAAGAAUUCGAGAACCAACCCGACCUGGAAAAAUUCCGCCCAGCUCCAAAUCAGUUCCCACCCGUUUGAUUUUAUUUAAUAUUUUUUGUUGUUGUUGUUUAAUAAAUCAGAUUUUAGAGGACCCGCCCUGCUGCCUCCAAAAUGGAAUUAUUUCAAUUCAAGUUUUUGAACCCAGAGCGGAGUUUGGGGGCGCUGAGCUCCCUCCGGCAGCAGAAGGGUUAAAUUUGGGAGCAGAAGGAAUAAAAGUUUCACAGGAGAAAAGUCCGGGCAGCAAAAAGAAAACCAAAACCCAAAAACUCCAAACCAAUUUUCUGGGGAUGCUCUCAAACCCCGCAGCUCUGGUUUCUCCUCCGGGGAAAGGUUUUUUUUAAUAUUUUUUUUUAAUAUUUUUUAAAUAUUUUUAACCCUUUUUUGAGGGUUUGGAGCGGAAAUUUCAGGGGCAGCUCCUCGGGUUUUAUCUCGGGAUCGCGGAGGGAGGGGGAAGGAAAAAAAAGCAAAAAUAAAUAAAU